Molecule: transfer RNA, 61 nt
Filed under: Cassida viridis
Lineage: Eukaryota; Metazoa; Arthropoda; Insecta; Coleoptera; Chrysomelidae
Description: tRNA-Leu
Source: RNAcentral
AUUAUUUUGGCAGAGUAGUGUAUUGGAUUUAGAAACCAAAUAAGUAAUUUUACAAAUAAUA